This 350-nucleotide unclassified non-coding RNA is filed under the name soil metagenome. RNAcentral describes it as "partial contains 5.8S ribosomal RNA, internal transcribed spacer 2, and large subunit ribosomal RNA". The stretch from base 1 to 120 matches the Rfam family "5.8S ribosomal RNA", at positions 35 to 154 of the family's 154-position model. The record is from RNAcentral.
GAUGAAGAACGCAGCGAAAUGCGAUACGUAAUGUGAAUUGCAGAAUUCAGUGAAUCAUCGAAUCUUUGAACGCACAUUGCGCCCGCCAGUAUUCUGGCGGGCAUGCCUGUCCGAGCGUCAUUUCAACCCUCGAACCCCUCCGGGGGGUCGGCGUUGGGGAUCGGCCCUUUACGGGGCCGGCCCCGAAAUACAGUGGCGGUCUCGCCGCAGCCUCUCCUGCGCAGUAGUUUGCACACUCGCAUCGGGAGCGCGGCGCGUCCACAGCCGUUAAACACCCCAAACUUCUGAAAUGUUGACCUCGGAUCAGGUAGGAAUACCCGCUGAACUUAAGCAUAUCAAUAAGCGGAGGA